AGGGGUGUAGCUCAAUUGGGAGAGCAGCGGUUUCCAACUCCGAAGGUUAUAGGUUCAAGUCCUAUCGCCCUUGCCA
RNAcentral lists this transfer RNA (76 nucleotides) under Marisediminitalea aggregata. It matches the Rfam family "tRNA". From Rfam's summary of the family: Transfer RNA (tRNA) molecules are approximately 80 nucleotides in length. The record is from RNAcentral. RNAcentral also lists the same sequence under 1 other name. Lineage: Bacteria; Pseudomonadati; Pseudomonadota; Gammaproteobacteria; Alteromonadales; Alteromonadaceae.